This 494-nucleotide ribosomal RNA is filed under the name uncultured bacterium. RNAcentral's name for it is "partial 16S ribosomal RNA". It matches the Rfam family "Bacterial small subunit ribosomal RNA", at positions 28 to 507 of the family's 1533-position model. The record is from RNAcentral.
GACGAACGCUGGCGGCGUGCUUAACACAUGCAAGUCGAACGGUGAAGCGCCUUCCUUUUUGGUUGGUGUGGAUGAGUGGCGAACGGGUGAGUAACACGUGAGUAACCUGCCCCCUUCUUCUGGAUAACCGCAUGAAAGUGUGGCUAAUACGGGAUAUUCUGGGUCUGUCGCAUGAUGGGUCUGGGAAAGAUAUUGUUUCGGUGGGGGAUGGGCUCGCGGCCUAUCAGCUUGUUGGUGGGGUGAUGGCCUACCAAGGCGGUGACGGGUAGCCGGCCUGAGAGGGUGGACGGUCACACUGGGACUGAGACACGGCCAAGACUCCUACGGGAGGCAGCAGUGGGGAAUAUUGCACAAUGGGCGCAAGCCUGAUGCAGCGACGCCGCGUGAGGGAUGGAGGCCUUCGGGUUGUGAACCUCUUUCGCCAGUGAAGCAGGCCUGCCUCGUUUGUGGGUGGGUUGACGGUAGCUGGAUAAGAAGCGCCGGCUAACUACGUG